GAUGAACGCUGGCGGCGUGCCUAAUACAUGCAAGUCGAGCGAACAGACGAGGAGCUUGCUCCUCUGACGUUAGCGGCGGACGGGUGAGUAACACGUGGAUAACCUACCUAUAAGACUGGGAUAACUUCGGGAAACCGGAGCUAAUACCGGAUAAUAUAUUGAACCGCAUGGUCCAAUAGUGAAAGACGGUUUUGCUGUCACUUAUAGAUGGAUCCGCGCCGCAUUAGCUAGUUGGUAAGGUAACGGCUUACCAAGGCAACGAUGCGUAGCCGACCUGAGAGGGUGAUCGGCCACACUGGAACUGAGGCACGGUCCAGACUCCUACGGGAGGCAGCAGUAGGGAAUCUUCCGCAAUGGGCGAAAGCCUGACGGAGCAACGCCGCGUGAGUGAUGAAGGUCUUCGGAUCGUAAAACUCUGUUAUUAGGGAAGAACAAAUGUGUAAGUAACUAUGCACGUCUUGACGGUACCUAAUCAGAAAGCCACGGCUAACUACGUG
This 497-nucleotide ribosomal RNA is filed under the name uncultured bacterium. Its description in RNAcentral is "partial 16S ribosomal RNA". It matches the Rfam family "Bacterial small subunit ribosomal RNA", at positions 28 to 507 of the family's 1533-position model. The record is from RNAcentral.